RNAcentral lists this small nuclear RNA (99 nucleotides) under Carlito syrichta (Philippine tarsier). The record is from RNAcentral. Lineage: Eukaryota; Metazoa; Chordata; Mammalia; Primates; Tarsiidae.
AUAUGAGAUAUAUAUAUUAAAAUGGAAAUGAUACAGAGAAGAUUAGCAUGGUCCCUGCCUAAGGAUGACAACCAAAUUCAUGCAGUAUUCCACAUUUUC